Rosa chinensis is the source of this 2312-nucleotide long non-coding RNA. RefSeq lists it as uncharacterized. The record is from RefSeq and is a predicted model, not a curated record. Lineage: Eukaryota; Viridiplantae; Streptophyta; Magnoliopsida; Rosales; Rosaceae. The transcript has 5 exons.
GAACCUUCACUCCUUUGUAGUUUGUAUACCUAAACUCAUAUCACAUACACGCACUCUCUCUCUCUCUCUCUCUCUCUGAUAUGGUGCUACCCUCUCCAGCAAAGAGCAACGGUAGUUCCAGCGGUGGCCACCCAUGACUCCUCCUCCAGAUUCGUAUCACCACCGACAGUAGUUGCCCUCUCUCGCUCUGUCAAUAUCUUUUGAAACUAGAAUACCCAUAUGGAGACUUGUCCCAAAAGUCUCUCAAUUUGCCAUAUCUUUAUCGAACCACAGUCCCACUCUGUUCUUCUGGUUUAUCAAAGCGUUUUGGUAGGGUAUUUGGUGCCGGGCAAUGGCUAUGGUUAAGAAUGAAAGACUGCUCCGGCGCCAUCGACCACUUCAGGCAAGUGAUGUCCUUGCUGUGGAGCUUUUGCAAAAAGAUGCACGACUUGCCGUUAGUGGAGAGAUAGGAAAGCCAUGUCCUGGUGGAACCUAAGUAUGCUCUAUGUUGAUACUACUAGAUUAAAUAAUGGUCCUUCUUUAGUUACAUUCUUCCUCGAUGGUAACCUUUUUGUUUCACCAUCUGAUAUUUGCAGUUCGUUUAUUCAUUGGAUUUUUUCUUUAGAUUUAUAGAAAAUGAUGGUAAUUUUCACAAUACUGUCAUUUUGUUAAUUCGUUUGCACAUCAAAUGUAGCUGUAGUUGUUAAGCACCUUUAUGAUCCAUCUUGAUUCUCCAUUGCAUAGAAAAUAGAUAGGCUUGGUAUUAAAAGGUGGUUUCUUCUCCAAUUAAAUUUAUGUUACUUGCUAUGGAUCACCUCAUACUUAUGUAGUCCAUGGUUACUUAGCAUCUUCGACUUUUAUGGGUAAGAUAUUAAAGUAGGAAGGGGAAGACUGAAAUUUUCUUUUCUUAAAUCGGGAAUUAAAUUGAAGCCUGUAAGUUUUUCAUUACUGAUGUUAAAAUUGUAAUUACACUAUAUACAAAACAGAGUUUUCAUAUAUCUUGGAACAGGCUGCGUGUGGUUCCUUUAUUUGAAACUGUGAAGGACUUGAGAGGAGCUGGCUCAGUGAUCAGGAAAUUAUUGUCCAUUGAUUUGAGUCUGAGAAUUUGACUUCUUUGGAGCUAUAGGUUUUACACCUAGAAAACUAUGUCUAAUGGGUUUUUCCCCGUUCUCUUUUUACAAUCUUCCAUUGAAAAGAGUUCAGAAUUUGUUAUCUGCAGAGUGCUUUUAGUGAUUGCAAUACUAAAAGUAGAAGGAUAGUGUAGAGUAUACUACCUCUCUAAGUCUCUCAACUCCUUUUGCGCUUGUAUUAGACUAUUGUAGAUUGCAUUAUUAACAUUUAGGUCUGGGGCAUGGAAACUUUGACGCAUGUCCAAGAACCAAAAAUAAUAUAUCUUCUUAGCUCAAUGAAAAGGAAAUUUGAGCAAGAGGCCGUGGAAAAUUUGAAAUCCCUGGUUCGAACAAAAAAUUAAUCAAUUGUACUUGUACCUCUCCUGUCUUAAUAUGUUUAGAUACUAAAUGGUAGCGAUGUAAUUCACUGAACUAUGUAUGGAUAACCAUCGACAGUGACUGAAUUUUGUUAUCUUGUUCUUUUUUUCUUUUUCCUUCUUGAAUUCCGUCAAGUUAUACUCAAAUCUGGGUACUGCUUUUAGGAGGUCUUGUGUCAGCUGGUAUAUUGGAUGUGUGGGUAAGUAAUGUAAAUGGUGGACUGGCUCUUGUACAGAUAUUUGGAUGGAUUUCAAUGAUGAAAUGGUGUCCAUUUAAUGCAGGACAUGAUUUCCCAACAGUCUUUUACCUUGCUCUGGGUGGAUCAUUGCUAUCAUACAUUUACUCUGCUCCACCUCUAAAUCUUAAAAAAAAAAGUCAUCUACUGUUAAAGCCCAGACAUUAGAUACUUAUUAGUAGAUACACACGAGCAUUGCAGAACCUUCAAAGGUACCAGAAAAAGGGCAGCUUUUGUCUUUAUUAUUGCAUUUCGGUUGCUGGAUCUUGGCAAUAAUACAGUGCAGGUAACGAAUGCAUCAAAGAGGUCAAGAUCCAAUCUAAACGACCUUCAUAACCUGUGGAAGCAUCUCAUCUUCUCAUCAACUUAGAAGGAAGAGCUGAAAUUAUAGAAUUCACUUGCUUCUUCAAAUCCUGCUGAUGAAAGGACUGCACCUAUAUAUAUAUAUAUUAAUUAUGCUGGUAAAUAGUUUCUCUCUCUCUCUACUCUAAAGUUCAAAAUUUGAGUUUAGUUGUUUUGGGGAGAGAAUGUAAUACAAUGUUUUGGAAUUUGUUGAUGUAUUGUUGGAAAUUUGAGUUUAAUGAAAAAGAUAUAGCAGGAUUGUGUGAUUA